AAUCAGCUAUGGUUCCUUAGAUCGUACAUACUACAUGGAUAACUGUAGUAAUUCUAGAGCUAAUACAUGCCACUAUGCCCUGACCCGCGAGGGGACGGGUGGAUUUAUUAGAACAAAACCAACCGGGAGUGGCUUCGGCCCCUCCCGUUGCGCUUCGUGAUGACUCUGGAUAACUUCACUGAUCGCAGUCGGCCUUGCGCCGGCGACGGAUCUUUCAAAUGUCUGCCCUAUCAAUUUUCGAUGGUAGGUGACCUGCCUACCAUGGUUCUAACGGGUAACGGGGAAUCGGGGUUCGAUUCCGGAGAGGGAGCCUGAGAAACGGCUACCACUUCCAAGGAAGGCAGCAGGCACGCAAAUUACCCAAUCCCGGCACGGGGAGGUAGUGACGAAAAAUACGGAUACGGGACUCGAUAGAGGCUCCGUAAUUCGAAUGAGUACAAUUUAAAUCCUUUAACGAGGAUCAACUGGAGGGCAAGUCUGGUGCCAGCAGCCGCGGUAACUCCAGCUCCAGAAGCGUAUAUUAAAGUUGUUGCAGUUAAAAAGCUCGUAGUUGGAUCUGGGUCGCAUGGCUACAUGCCGUCGCUUGUGGACUUGUUCUGGUGACUGCCGGAGCAGGCUCGCGAGUCGGUCUAGUGGUUGUGCUUCCUUUCUGCUGUGUCUGUUUACAGGUGUCAGCGUGAUUGGUGGGUUUUCCUGCCGGUCCGUUGGCAUGCUUCUUGAUGCCUUUAAACGGGUGUCGGAGGCGGACAGCACGUUUACUUUGAACA
Molecule: ribosomal RNA, 767 nt
Filed under: Cyclocoelidae sp. TRS-2020
Lineage: Eukaryota; Metazoa; Platyhelminthes; Trematoda; Plagiorchiida; Cyclocoelidae
Description: SSU rRNA
Rfam family: Eukaryotic small subunit ribosomal RNA
Source: RNAcentral